UGGGGAAUAUUGGACAAUGGGCGAAAGCCUGAUCCAGCUAUGCCGCGUGUGAAGAAGGCCCUCGGGUUGUAAAGCACUUUCAGCGAGGAAGAACGCCUAGGGGUUAAUACCCCCUAGGAAAGACAUCACUCGCAGAAGAAGCACCGGCUAACUCCGUGCCAGCAGCCGCGGUAAUACGGAGGGUGCAAGCGUUAAUCGGAAUUACUGGGCGUAAAGCGCGCGUAGGUGGCUUGAUAAGCCGGUUGUGAAAGCCCCGGGCUCAACCUGGGAACGGCAUCCGGAACUGUCAAGCUAGAGUGCAGGAGAGGAAGGUAGAAUUCCCGGUGUAGCGGUGAAAUGCGUAGAGAUCGGGAGGAAUACCAGUGGCGAAGGCGGCCUUCUGGACUGACACUGACACUGAGGUGCGAAAGCGUGGGUAGCAAACA
RNAcentral lists this ribosomal RNA (425 nucleotides) under uncultured Halomonas sp. RNAcentral's name for it is "bacterial SSU rRNA". It matches the Rfam family "Bacterial small subunit ribosomal RNA", at positions 355 to 774 of the family's 1533-position model. Lineage: Bacteria; Pseudomonadati; Pseudomonadota; Gammaproteobacteria; Oceanospirillales; Halomonadaceae. The record is from RNAcentral.